This 1553-nucleotide long non-coding RNA is filed under the name Mytilus galloprovincialis (Mediterranean mussel). Lineage: Eukaryota; Metazoa; Mollusca; Bivalvia; Mytilida; Mytilidae. The record is from RNAcentral.
ACCAAACUUGUUUAUGAUCAAAAGCAAGUAUCUAGACGGAAAUUUUGUAAAAAUUUUGUACCUGUGUAUCUGUAUUUUACUUAUAAAUGGACUUAGGUUUUCUUCCAGUUAACCAGAGGUGGAUUUAGGGGAAAUCCCUUUUGUGAAAAAAAUUUGGUUAAUUAUAUUGGGAAUCACUGAAGCGUGACGGGAGCAAACUCCCUCUUAGGCAGCCAGUGGGCCCCCGCUUAUGAAAAUGUCUUGAUCUGCCACUGUUAAAAUUAAAUACAGUCUGCAGUUAAAAGUUUUUAAAACAUUUAUUAGACUCAUAAACUAUCCUGGAUUUUUACCAAACUUGGACAGAAGCAUCUUACAAUCAAAAGAUAGUAUCAAAAGGAAUAUUUUUAUUGAUGUUUUCCUCAUUUUUGUUGAGCCUGGGAUUAAGAUCAAAAGUAGGUGAGAAACUGUGUUCCUAGGAGCCCUUACAAAAUUUUUUAUUUUCAUAUCUGUGAUAUUUGUAAUUGUUUUACCUCUCCUGGUUGAUGGGCCAAUAUGAGUAAUUUAACCAUCACUUUGUGUCCAUUGUUAUGCUACUUCCCACUUGAAUCUUGUUUAAUAAGGAUGUGACCCAAUUGAACCUGUCUUUUUAGGUGUAAUUUGGUAUGGAAAAGUAUAGCAACCAAAGCCAUUUCUUGAUUGUGAUAAACCAAAUGUAAUUUUAUCUGAAUCUAACAAUCUUAAUCUAUUCAUCAAUUUUUAGAUUUCGAGUUUUAUUAACAAUUCCAUAUAUUGCGCUGUUGUCAUACAUUUGUAGCAAUGAUGCCACAUACUGGUAAGCAACAAUAUACCUGCUGAAUAACUGUUGAAAUCUCCCUCUCAGAAAAAGACUUUCAAAAUAAAUUCCCUACAAAUCAGAAUAAUUUAUUAAAGCGGUUUAUGAACAAAAUUCAAUUUUGUUUCAACAAAGCCUGGCUGCCAAAGGUAACUGUGGAUACUAUAUAUAAGGGUACAUUGUAUGAUUUGGAAAUAUCAAUUUCUUUGGUAAAUCCCAACCAAAGUGUAAAUUUUGUGCAUCCAUGUAUAAAUGAAUGAAACACCUGAGUGAAAUAUAUAUGUUUUUAUUAGCUUUCAUCAGGUGGUGAAAUAUCCAAGGGAGGGAUACAGGAUACUUAAAUUCUCUGAUGGUUUUUUUAAUGUUAUUUUUUAAUAGUUGUUAUUUAUAUUUUUGUUGACUGUAAAAUUGGUCAUAUUUAGAAAAUAUUUAGAUCUGCAAUCAGUCCUUCAGACAAUCUCUUUAGUUUUGAGACUUAGCAGUCAAUUGUCAGGUGCACAACUUGGAACAAUUGUCUCAUACUGUAUUAAACCUGUGUGUGCCAAGAAAGACAAUUAUAUUUGUUGACAUGUUUUUUAUUACAAAUUGUAUUGCAAAAAUUGCAAUUUGUUGGAUUUUGAAAAAUAAAAACUCACAAUUAAAAGUUUUAUGGCAUUAUAUGACUUUUUACGCAACAUUUCCCGAAAUCACAAUUAGUUAAUCUAAAGUUUUUGUACCUUGAUCGACAAUCAUAAUAAUUAAC